CAGCCGCCGCGGUAAUACAAAGGAUGCAAGCGUUAUCCGGAAUGAUUGGGCGUAAAGCGUCUGUAGGUGGCUUUUCAAGUCCACCGUCAAAUCCCAGGGCUCAACCCUGGACAGGCGAUGGAAACUACCAAGCUAGAGUAUGGUAGGGGCAGAGGGAAUUUCCGGUGGAGCGGUGAAAUGUGUUGAGAUCGGAAAGAACACCAACGGCGAAAGCACUCUGCUGGGCCGACACUGACACUGAGAGACGAAAGCUAGGGGAGCAAAUGGGAUUAGAUACCCCAGUAGUCCCUGUCUCUUAUAU
Molecule: ribosomal RNA, 301 nt
Filed under: uncultured bacterium
Lineage: Bacteria
Description: partial 16S ribosomal RNA
Rfam family: Bacterial small subunit ribosomal RNA
Source: RNAcentral